Small nuclear RNA from Sciurus vulgaris (Eurasian red squirrel), 165 nucleotides. Its record names the gene U1. It matches the Rfam family "U1 spliceosomal RNA". Rfam says of the family: U1 is a small nuclear RNA (snRNA) component of the spliceosome (involved in pre-mRNA splicing). Its 5' end forms complementary base pairs with the 5' splice junction, thus defining the 5' donor site of an intron. The record is from Ensembl. Lineage: Eukaryota; Metazoa; Chordata; Mammalia; Rodentia; Sciuridae.
AUACUUACCUGAAAGGGGAGAACACCAUGAUCAUCUAGAUGGUUUUUCCAAAGUGAGGCUUAUCUAUUGCUCUCUGGAUGUGCUAAUCACUGCAAUUUCCCCAAAUAUGGGAAAGUCAACUGCAUAAUUUGUAGUUGAGGGAAAUUGUGUUUGUACUCUCCCCUG